GGGAAUUGAACUCGGAACCUUGGGCUUGUAAGCCAGGCGGCGGCACCACUGAGACAAAUCAUCCCGGACCCAAUCUUUAAUUUUUUUGAGGAGCCGCCGUACGGCUUUCUCAGGGGCCGCCUGCAGCCCCGGGACGGCAGAGGCAGGAGGAUCUUUAUACACUGAGCUCAGGCGGCCUCGGCAAGGUCCCCGCCCCGUCCCAGCGACCACGGUCGCUUCCUGUCCCGUCCGGAGCUGCAGGCCCCAGGCCCAGGUGUGGGAGGCACCGGCUCCUCCAGGCCUGGCUCCCGGGCUCCUGGGUCCUCACACACAUGUCCCUCUGUGUGGUCCGCGUCCUCCCGGCCUCCUCUCAGAGGGACCCAGGCCUGUGGGGUUGGGGCCACCACGGGGACUCAGUUUACCUCCACGGCUCUUUAAGACUCGGUUUUCACACACAGCCGCAGCCUGAGGUCCCGGGGUCAGAGAGUCGGUCGACAGCCUCAGUGUGCAGCCUGAGCCGCCGGCUGGUGGGGACACCCGUGUCCCUGGUGCAGUGGGGGACACAGAAUGCCGUCCCCUCGACGUUCACCUCCACCUCCGCCGCCUCGACGGUCCCCGUGUCACCCCGAGUGUCCCCGCCCACCCCCUCCAUUUGGAGCCGGGGUCUCACUGGCGGCUCCGACACCGUCCUGCCCUGCUGCCGCCCGCCGGCCCGGCCUCUCCUGGCUGCUAUCACGGCGUCGGAUCAGCCACGACGGCUUCCUGCCCGCGGAUCACUUCCCCGUCUCCUCUCCGGGCCUCACACGGGGGCGAGGAACCCAGCUGUCGGGAGGAGCCAGGCGGCGGGGACAUGGGGACCCGAGUGUGGGCCUGGGUGGCCGCGCUGCUGCUGCUGCUGCUGCUACAGGGGCACCCGACGGACAUGGGGGACGAGGGAGCCGGAAGGUCGAAUGCUGCGAUUUGUACCCUCAGUUUGCCCCGUCGGGGAGCCCCGGACAGAAAUAAGACAGAACCGAGGGCCAUGUCUGCUCCAGGCUCCUAGCCAGCAGCAAAACCCCGGCAGUGCUGUGCCGAUGGGAGCGCACGAGGGCUUCUGUACCGUCCCCACCGAGCAGACCCGAGGCCCCAGAGCCCACCACGGCCCCUCAGCCACUUCCUGCCCUCCUGUUCCCCG
Molecule: long non-coding RNA, 1153 nt
Filed under: Fukomys damarensis (Damara mole-rat)
Lineage: Eukaryota; Metazoa; Chordata; Mammalia; Rodentia; Bathyergidae
Description: lncRNA (ENSFDAG00000031520.1)
Source: RNAcentral